GUGAGGAUGAGUAAGGUUAGAGGUAGAGGAGGACAGUAUUACAUGUGAGAUGAGUAAGGUUAGAGGUAGAGGAGGACAGUAUUACAUGGUGAGGAUGAGUAGGGUUAGAGGAGGACAGUAUUACAUGGUGAGGAUGAGUAGGGUUAGAGGUAGAGGAGGACAGUAUUACAUGGUGAGGAUGAGUAGGGUUAGAGGUAGAGGAGGAAGUAUUACAUGGUGAGGAUGAGUAGGGUUAGAGAUAGAGGACAGUAUUACAUGGUGAGGAUGAGUAGGGUUAGAGGAGGACAGUAUUACAUGGUGAGGAUGAGUAGGGUUAGAGGAGGACAGUAUUACAUGGUGAGGAUGAGUAGGGUUAGAGGAAGGACAGUAUUACAUGGUGAGAUGAGUAGGGUUAGAGGUAGAGGAGGACAGUAUUACAUGGUGA
Non-coding RNA from Salvelinus sp. IW2-2015, 424 nucleotides. Lineage: Eukaryota; Metazoa; Chordata; Actinopteri; Salmoniformes; Salmonidae. The record is from RefSeq and is a predicted model, not a curated record.